AAGGGUCAACGUUGGCCACCAUGAAGACCAAUGAUGGCCACCAUGAAGACCAACGAUGGCCACCAUGAAGACCAACGAUGGCCACAAAGGCCAACGGUGGCCACCAUGAAGACCAACGAUGGCCACAAAGGUCCAUGAUGGCC
Long non-coding RNA from Oxyura jamaicensis (ruddy duck), 143 nucleotides. RefSeq lists it as uncharacterized. NCBI's taxonomy places the organism in Eukaryota, Metazoa, Chordata, Aves, Anseriformes, Anatidae. The transcript is spliced from 2 exons. The record is from RefSeq and is a predicted model, not a curated record.